GAUGAAGAACGCAGCGAAAUGCGAUACGUAAUGUGAAUUGCAGAAUUCAGUGAAUCAUCGAAUCUUUGAACGCACCUUGCGCUCCUUGGUAUUCCGAGGAGCAUGCCUGUUUGAGUGUCAUGAAAUUCUCAACCUUUUCAGCUUUCUUUGUUGAUCAGGCUUGGAUGUGGGAGUAUGCGGGCUUCUCAGAAGUCGGCUCUCCUGAAAUGCAUUAGCGGGACCUUUGUUGCCUGGCUUUGGUGUGAUAAUUAUCUACGCCAUUGUAGUCAAGCAGCUUAAAAUGAGGUUUCAGCUUCUAACCGUCUCCCCUGAGACAACUUUUUGACAAUUUGACCUCAAAUCAGGUAGGACUACCCGCUGAACUUAAGCAUAUCAAUAAGCGGAGGA
Molecule: unclassified non-coding RNA, 387 nt
Filed under: soil metagenome
Description: partial contains 5.8S ribosomal RNA, internal transcribed spacer 2, and large subunit ribosomal RNA
Rfam family: 5.8S ribosomal RNA (bases 1-120)
Source: RNAcentral